UGCCAGCCGCCGCGGUAAUACGAAGGGAACUAGCGUUGUUCGGAUUUACUGGGCGUAAAGAGCAUGUAGGCGGAUUGGACAGUUGGAGGUGAAAUCCCGGAGCUCAACUCCGGAACUGCCUUCAAUACUUCCAGUCUAGAAUCUGUAAGGGGGUGGUGGAAUUCCGAGUGUAGAGGUGAAAUUCGUAGAUAUUAGGAAGAACACCAGUGGCGAAGGCGGCUCACUGGCUCGGUACUGACGCUGAGGCGCGAAAGCGUGGGGAGCAAACAGGAUUAGAUA
RNAcentral lists this ribosomal RNA (279 nucleotides) under uncultured bacterium. RNAcentral describes it as "partial 16S ribosomal RNA". It matches the Rfam family "Bacterial small subunit ribosomal RNA", at positions 506 to 784 of the family's 1533-position model. The record is from RNAcentral.